This 304-nucleotide ribosomal RNA is filed under the name uncultured bacterium. RNAcentral's name for it is "partial 16S ribosomal RNA". It matches the Rfam family "Bacterial small subunit ribosomal RNA", at positions 506 to 807 of the family's 1533-position model. The record is from RNAcentral.
CAGCAGUAGCCGCGGUAAAACGAAGGGUGCAAGCGUUAAUCGGAAUUACUGGGCGUAAAGCGUGCGUAGGCGGUGAGUUAAGUCUGCUGUGAAAUCCCCGGGCUCAACCUGGGAAUGGCAGUGGAUACUGGCUCGCUAGAGUGUGUCAGAGGAUGGUGGAAUUCCCGGUGUAGCGGUGAAAUGCGUAGAGAUCGGGAGGAACAUCAGUGGCGAAGGCGGCCAUCUGGGACAACACUGACGCUGAGGCACGAAAGCGUGGGGAGCAAACAGGAUUAGAUACCCCCGUAGUCCCUGUCUCUUAUAC